RNAcentral lists this ribosomal RNA (107 nucleotides) under Paramormyrops kingsleyae. The record is from RNAcentral. Lineage: Eukaryota; Metazoa; Chordata; Actinopteri; Osteoglossiformes; Mormyridae.
CUCAGCAGCCAAACCACCUGUGGUUCAGAACUGUUAAUCCAUCUGAAGUUUUGGGCCUGGCCAGUUCUUGGAUGGGAAACCAACUAGGAAAGUUAGGAAAGCUGGGU